RNAcentral lists this unclassified non-coding RNA (551 nucleotides) under Hevea brasiliensis (rubber tree). The record is from RNAcentral. Lineage: Eukaryota; Viridiplantae; Streptophyta; Magnoliopsida; Malpighiales; Euphorbiaceae.
GCUAAUUUUAGCAUUUUGUAAAUCCUAAACCUACUGCAACAAGCGAAAUAGGUAGAGGAAAUUUCAUAACAAAUUGAAGUGACUAAUAUGAAAAAGCCCUUAUGUGCAAGUUUUCCUUAAGUUCUCAUACCCUCCAACAUCAGUGGCUAAUGAAUAUUAAUUUUUAUCAUGCCAGCUUUUUGAUCAUUUACUUAAAGUCUCCUGUUAUAUAUUCAUCUAUCUUCUUAUAUCGCAUCUAAAAAAUCUAUAUUUUUGUGAACGAAGCUUUUGAUUUUAGUCUGGACAAACACUUCAAAUAUAACAACAUUUAUCUUAACCUUCUAAUCAUUUUUAAUUAACGCCAUUGAAUUAAAAGAAUUCUUUGCAUUAUAUAUUCUUUUUCCAACUCAACACAGACAAGUGAAUAAUAUUUAUUUUAAUUUCUUAUCGUCAUUAUUUUUGUUUUUUUUAUUAAUGAUGAGCAUAUUUUAUGUCUAAAUCAUCUACUUCUUCCUUUGAGCUAAACACCAUCCCCACCAUUGCGUCACAAUUUUUCACUUGAUAUAUUAUUU